Long non-coding RNA from Tachysurus fulvidraco (yellow catfish), 1172 nucleotides. RefSeq lists it as uncharacterized. The record is from RefSeq and is a predicted model, not a curated record. NCBI's taxonomy places the organism in Eukaryota, Metazoa, Chordata, Actinopteri, Siluriformes, Bagridae. The transcript is spliced from 3 exons.
CAGAAUCAGAAUCAGAUUUGUGUGUGUGUGUGUGUGUGUGUGUGUGUGUCGUUAUGUUAUGAUUUAAAGUUAAAUUCACAACAGAUCUAUGUAGCCGGUUUGAGUGCCAUUUUAUCUGCAUCACAGCUUCCUUAGAGUUUGCUGGUCAUCACAAUGCUCCAACAAGCUGAUCAUGUGAAAGUCACACAGUUUAACUCAUAGCCAAGUUACACAAACACGAGCAGGAUUAUCAGACAAACUACAACAAGCCUUAAACAAUAUCUUUAGCCAGCAAGCCAACUUGUUGCCAACAUAAUAAAAGACCCAGCUUGCUAACUUAAGCCAGCAAAACAGCUGUAGUUGUUUUUGUUUUAGAUAUAGAUCAGUAUUGACUGUUUAACACCUACUUCAUUAGCAGUGUGACUCAUUACAGUGAGAUUAAAUUGUCAUGGUUACAAAGCUAGCAUGCUAACACAUUAGCAUGCUAGGUAGCUAUAGCACUCACAUGAUUUAGCUAACAGUCACAAUGACAGCUAGCAUGAAAACAAACUGUCAUUCUGUCGCUUCGUGUUUAUUUAGUACAAGCCGUUGAGCCUGAUUAUAAAUAUUACGUUGUUUAUAAAAGGUUUGUGUUGUGCGGAAUAUAAACAGAAAAGCUGUUGUUUCAUCCCGGUCAGAGUCGAGGUGGAUCUGGAGCGAGGUGGAAUAAUUCACCAUGAUGGGACAGCAGUCCAUUGCAGGAGUACAGGUUCAACCCAGGUGCUGGAACAUUAAAGAAAAAAGAAGAAAGGGACAAAAAUGAACAACUAGUGAUUAAAACUUUAAAGCUUUGUUACCAUUUUUAAACACCAAGCCCACUGCCCCCCUUAUUUGCUGUAGAUUUUCAGUUUCUAUUCAGUUGAACUGAAACUUAGAGGAGCUCAAACCUGUUCCAGCAUGACAUUGCCUCUGUGCACACAGCAAGGUACAUGAUGAUCACUUUUGCCAAGGUUUAAGUGAAUGAGCUCGAGUGGCUUGAUGGCUCAAUGAACUGGAACAGCAACUGGCUGAUGGCUGGAAUCAGUAUCUGACCUCUAACGAUGAUGUAGCUGAAUGAUCACAAAUCCCCACAGCCACAUCUAGCGGAAAACUUCCCAGAAAAGUCGAGAUUGUUAUAACAGCAAAGAACAAUUACGAAUCAGAUGAGUGUUAUG